GUGACGAAGCGACGCCGCGUGCGGGAAGAAGGCCUUCGGGUUGUAAACCGCUGUCGGGAGUUAGGAAGUGCAAGGAUGUUAAUAGCGUUCUUGCUUGACUAAGGCUCCGGAGGAAGCCACGGCUAACUCUGUGCCAGCAGCCGCGGUAAUACAGAGGCGGCAAGCGUUGUUCGGAAUUAUUGGGCGUAAAGAGCACGUAGGCGGCCGUGUAAGUCGGUUGUGAAAGCCUUCCGCUUAACGGAAGAACGGCAUCCGAUACUGCAUAGCUUGAGUGCGGGAGGGGAGAGUAGAACUUCUGGUGGAGCGGUGAAAUGCGUAGAUAUCAGAAGGAACACCGGCGGCGAAGGCGACUCUCUGGUCCGUAACUGACGCUGAGUGUGCGAAAGCUAGGGGAGCAAACGGGAUUACAUACCCCGGUAGUCCUAGCCGUAAACGAUG
RNAcentral lists this ribosomal RNA (438 nucleotides) under uncultured Candidatus Brocadia sp. RNAcentral describes it as "bacterial SSU rRNA". It matches the Rfam family "Bacterial small subunit ribosomal RNA", at positions 383 to 811 of the family's 1533-position model. Lineage: Bacteria; Pseudomonadati; Planctomycetota; Candidatus Brocadiia; Candidatus Brocadiales; Candidatus Brocadiaceae. The record is from RNAcentral.